GACGUAGGGCGCGAGCGUUGUCCGGAUUUAUUGGGCGUAAAGAGCUCGUAGGCGGCUUGUUGCGUCAGCUGUGAAAACCCGCAGCUCAACUGUGGGCUUGCAGCUGGUACGGGCAGGCUUGAGUUCGGUAGGGGAGACUGGAAUUCCUGGUGUAGCGGUGAAAUGCGCAGAUAUCGUAAGGAAGACCAGUGGCGAAGGCGAAUCUCUGGACAGUUACUGACGCUGAGGCACGAAGGCCAGGGGAUCAAUCGGG
Molecule: ribosomal RNA, 253 nt
Filed under: uncultured bacterium
Lineage: Bacteria
Description: partial 16S ribosomal RNA
Rfam family: Bacterial small subunit ribosomal RNA
Source: RNAcentral